CCUACGGGAGGCAGCAGUGAGGAAUAUUGGUCAAUGGGCGGGAGCCUGAACCAGCCAAGCCGCGUGAGGGAAGAAGGUACAGCGUAUCGUAAACCUCUUUUGUCAGGGAACAAAGGUGUGGACUAGUCCCCGUAUGCGGGUACCCGAAGAAUAAGCAUCGGCUAACUCCGUGCCAGCAGCCGCGGUAAUACGGAGGAUGCGAGCGUUAUCCGGAUUUAUUGGGUUUAAAGGGUGCGUAGGGUGGGUUUUAAGUCAGCGGUGAAAGGGUGGGGCUCAACCCCAACAGUGCCGUUGAAACUGGCAGGCUGGAGUGGGUGAGAGGUACGCGGAAUGCGCGGUGUAGCGGUGAAAUGCAUAGAUAUCGCGCAGAACCCCGAUUGCGAAGGCAGCGUACCGGCUCCAAACUGACGCUGAGGCACGAAAGCGUGGGGAUCGAACAGGAUUAGAUACCCGGGUAGUC
RNAcentral lists this ribosomal RNA (460 nucleotides) under uncultured bacterium. RNAcentral's name for it is "partial 16S ribosomal RNA". It matches the Rfam family "Bacterial small subunit ribosomal RNA", at positions 338 to 795 of the family's 1533-position model. The record is from RNAcentral.